RNAcentral lists this ribosomal RNA (777 nucleotides) under Cylindera waterhousei. Its description in RNAcentral is "partial 16S ribosomal RNA". The stretch from base 1 to 559 matches the Rfam family "Bacterial large subunit ribosomal RNA", at positions 1850 to 2925 of the family's 2925-position model. The record is from RNAcentral. Lineage: Eukaryota; Metazoa; Arthropoda; Insecta; Coleoptera; Carabidae.
AGGUCUAGCCUGCCCAAUGAGGGUUUAAAUGGCCGCAGUAUUUUGACUGUGCAAAGGUAGCAUAAUUAUUAGUUUUUUAAUUAAAAGCUUGUAUGAAGGGUUGGACGAGAUAAAAUCUGUCUUUAUUUAAAUUAGAAUAUAAUUUAACUUUUAAGUCAAAAGGCUUAGAUUUUUAUAAAAGACGAGAAGACCCUAUAGAUCUUUAUUUAAUUAUUAUUUUAAUAAUUUAGGAUUAUUUUAGUUUAAAAUUUUAAUUGAAUUUUAUUGGGGUAAUAUAAAGAUUAAAGUAAUUCUUUUUAUUUAUUACAUAAAUUUAUGAAUUUGUGAUCCAAUAUUAUUGAUUAUAAGAUUAAGUUACCUUAGGGAUAACAGCGUAAUUUUUUUGGAGAGCUCAUAUCGAUAAAAAAGUUUGCGACCUCGAUGUUGGAUUAAAAAUUAUCUUGGGUGCAGAAGCUCAAGAUUUUGGUCUGUUCGACCAUUAAAUUUUUACAUGAUCUGAGUUCAGACCGGCGUAAGCCAGGUCGGUUUCUAUCUUUAUUUGAUUAGAAUAUUUUAGUACGAAAGGACCAAAUAUUUAAUAUAAUAAUAUUUUAUUUUUGAAUAAUAUUAUUACUUUGGCAGAAUAGUGCAAUGAAUUUAGAAUUCAUGUAUGUAAUUUUAUUACAAGUAAUACUUGUAUUUAGGAGACUUAUUAUUAAUAGUUAUGUGUAUACUAGUUCUAGUAGUUUGUGUAUUGGUGGGGGUGGCUUUUUUAACUCUUUUAGAGCGUAAGGUAUU